CCGCUGAAGUCACUGGCAAAAUCCCUGUUUCAGUGGCAGCUGGCUCUUCCCCUUUGCAGUGCUGUUACAUGUUACUACUGGACAGAAACGGGUGAUGUUUCCUGUGUGGGAUUUCAAACACCUUGGGUAAUUCUGCUGCUUCUGUCUCCAAAGGGAGAAGAGGAACGGUUCACCUUCCUUAUGCAAAACCCAGAGGACAAAAGGGCUGAGAUACCUGCCAGUUUAAAGGAGUUGCUAGCGCACUGACAGAACAGCAGGAGACACAGUG
Long non-coding RNA from Alligator mississippiensis (American alligator), 268 nucleotides. RefSeq lists it as uncharacterized. The transcript is spliced from 3 exons. NCBI's taxonomy places the organism in Eukaryota, Metazoa, Chordata, Crocodylia, Alligatoridae. The record is from RefSeq and is a predicted model, not a curated record.